Molecule: ribosomal RNA, 253 nt
Filed under: uncultured bacterium
Lineage: Bacteria
Description: partial 16S ribosomal RNA
Rfam family: Bacterial small subunit ribosomal RNA
Source: RNAcentral
UACGUAGGUGGCAAGCGUUGUCCGGAUUUACUGGGCGUAAAGGGCGUGCAGGCGGUUUGUUAAGUUCAGGGUGAAAGCUCCCGGCUCAACUGGGAGAGGUCCUUGGAUACUGGCAGACUUGAGGAGGGUAGAGGAGAGUGGAAUUCCCGGUGUAGUGGUGAUAUGCGUAGAUAUCGGGAGGAACACCAGUGGCGAAGGCGGCUCUCUGGGCCGUACCUGACGCUGAGACGCGAAAGCGUGGGGAGCGAACCGG